AUUGAACGCUGGCGGCAGGCCUAACACAUGCAAGUCGAGCGGAUGAAGGGAGCUUGCUCCUGGAUUCAGCGGCGGACGGGUGGGUAAUGCCUAGGAAUCUGCCUGGUAGUGGGGGAUAACGUCCGGAAACGGGCGCUAAUACCGCAUACGUCCUGAGGGAGAAAGUGGGGGAUCUUCGGACCUCACGCUAUCAGAUGAGCCUAGGUCGGAUUAGCUAGUUGGUGGGGUAAAGGCCUACCAGGGCGACGAUCCGUAACUGGUCGGAGAGGAUGAUCAGUCACACUGGAACUGAGACACGGUCAAGACUCCUACGGUAGGCAGCAGUGGGGAAUAUUGGACAAUGGUCGAAAGCCUGAUCCAGCCAUGCCGCGUGUGUGAAGAAGGUCUUCGGAUUGUAAAGCACUUUAAGUUGGGAGGAAGGGCAGUAAGUUAAUACCUUGCUGUUUUGACGUUACCAACAGAAUAAGCACCGGCUAACUUCGUG
RNAcentral lists this ribosomal RNA (484 nucleotides) under uncultured bacterium. RNAcentral describes it as "partial 16S ribosomal RNA". It matches the Rfam family "Bacterial small subunit ribosomal RNA", at positions 30 to 507 of the family's 1533-position model. The record is from RNAcentral.